AACAAGGCGUACCUGCGGACCUGCGGAAGGAUCAUUACACAAUACAAUAUGAAGGCUGUCCGCAGCUGGAGUAUUUUAUUACCCUUGUCUUUUGCGCACUUGUUGUUUCCUGGGCGGGUUCGCUCGCCACCAGGACCACCAAAUAAACCUUUUUUAUGCAGUUGCAAUCAGCGUCAGUACAAACAAUGUAAAUCAUUUACAACUUUCAGCAAUGGAUCU
This 219-nucleotide unclassified non-coding RNA is filed under the name soil metagenome. Its description in RNAcentral is "partial contains 5.8S ribosomal RNA, internal transcribed spacer 2, and large subunit ribosomal RNA". The record is from RNAcentral.